Molecule: ribosomal RNA, 404 nt
Filed under: Bacillota bacterium
Lineage: Bacteria; Bacillati; Bacillota
Description: Firmicutes bacterium partial 16S ribosomal RNA
Rfam family: Bacterial small subunit ribosomal RNA
Source: RNAcentral
UGGGGAAUCUUGCGCAAUGGGCGAAAGCCUGACGCAGCCAUGCCGCGUGAAUGAUGAAGGUCUUAGGAUUGUAAAACUCUUUCACCGGGGACGAUAAUGACGGUACCCGGAGAAGAAGCCCCGGCUAACUUCGUGCCAGCAGCCGCGGUAAUACGAAGGGGGCUAGCGUUGCUCGGAAUUACUGGGCGUAAAGGGAGCGUAGGCGGACUGUUAAGUUAGAGGUGAAAGCCCAGGGCUCAACCUUGGAAUUGCCUUUGAUACUGGCAGUCUUGAGUACGGAAGAGGUAUGUGGAACUCCGAGUGUAGAGGUGAAAUUCGUAGAUAUUCGGAAGAACACCAGUGGCGAAGGCGACAUACUGGUCCGUUACUGACGCUGAGGCUCGAAAGCGUGGGGAGCAAACAGG